AUAACGACUCUCGGCAACGGAUAUCUCGGCUCUCGCAUCGAUGAAGAACGUAGCGAAAUGCGAUACUUGGUGUGAAUUGCAGAAUCCCGUGAACCAUCGAGUCUUUGAACGCAAGUUGCGCCCGAAGCCAGCAGGCUGAGGGCACGUCUGCCUGGGUGUCACGC
RNAcentral lists this ribosomal RNA (164 nucleotides) under Dorcoceras philippense. RNAcentral's name for it is "5.8S ribosomal RNA". It matches the Rfam family "5.8S ribosomal RNA". From Rfam's summary of the family: 5.8S ribosomal RNA (5.8S rRNA) is a component of the large subunit of the eukaryotic ribosome. It is transcribed by RNA polymerase I as part of the 45S precursor that also contains 18S and 28S rRNA. Lineage: Eukaryota; Viridiplantae; Streptophyta; Magnoliopsida; Lamiales; Gesneriaceae. The record is from RNAcentral.